This is a long non-coding RNA of Passer montanus (Eurasian tree sparrow), 445 nucleotides long. RefSeq lists it as uncharacterized. The transcript is spliced from 3 exons. Lineage: Eukaryota; Metazoa; Chordata; Aves; Passeriformes; Passeridae. The record is from RefSeq and is a predicted model, not a curated record.
AGCCGGACAGGUGAGCCGGACAGGUGAGUGAACAGCUCAGGUGAGCCGGACAGGUGAGCCAGAGAGGUGAGUGACCCCACCCAGGUGAGCCGGACAGGUGAGCCAGACAGAUGAGUGACCCCCCCAGGUGAGCCCUGACAGGUGAGUGGGACACGUGAGCAUUGGGACAGGUGAGCAUUGGACAGGUGAGCAUUGGACAGGUGUGACCCCCCCAGGUGAGUGAGGAGACAGGUGAGAGGGGACAGGUGAGCAUUGGACAGGUGAGAGGGACAGGUGAGUGAGGAGACGGACAGCCCAGGUGAGUGGGACAGGUGAGCGAGGACAGCCCAGGUGAGCAAGGAUAGGUGUCCCGUACCUGUCCCAGGUGUCUCACCUGUCCCAGGUGUGUCCCAGGUGUGUCCCAGGUGUGUCCCAGGUGUGUCCCACCUGUCCCAGGUGUGUCCCA